AUGACGUUCAUCUUACUUGAAGAUCUUGGACUGAACAAGAAGAAAUUUCUUUCCAGUUUGAACUUCCAAGUGGCAUCCUACUGGCUCAACUCUGGAGAACUCUUCUUAGCCACAUAUGUGUUUGGACUGCAUCUUCCCGGCUUUAUACACACAAAUACAAUGAAAUUGAGCAUAUUUUCUGACAAAUUGGAACACCCUUUUCCAUUGAGGGUGACACAUAGAAGAUAUGGAAGUUCUCCAGAGAACAGAUGGGAAGUGACUGGAUCUCUGGUAUGUGGACAUUACUAGACUAGAUGCUCUCUUGUCUGGGUAAAGAAAGCAAUUGCAAAAGAGAUUGUGUGAAGGCCUUGUCUGUAUG
Molecule: long non-coding RNA, 358 nt
Filed under: Mus spicilegus (steppe mouse)
Lineage: Eukaryota; Metazoa; Chordata; Mammalia; Rodentia; Muridae
Description: lncRNA (ENSMSIG00000005939.1)
Source: RNAcentral